GAUGAACGCUGGCGGCGUGCCUAAUACAUGCAAGUCGAGCGAAUGGAUUAAGAGCUUGCUCUUAUGAAGUUAGCGGCGGACGGGUGAGUAACACGUGGGUAACCUGCCCAUAAGACUGGGAUAACUCCGGGAAACCGGGGCUAAUACCGGAUAACAUUUUGAACCGCAUGGUUCGAAAUUGAAAGGCGGCUUCGGCUGUCACUUAUGGAUGGACCCGCGUCGCAUUAGCUAGUUGGUGAGGUAACGGCUCACCAAGGCAACGAUGCGUAGCCGACCUGAGAGGGUGAUCGGCCACACUGGAACUGAGACACGGCCCAGACUCCUACGGGAGGCAGCAGUAGGGAAGCUUCCGCAAUGGACGAAAGUCUGACGGAGCAACGCCGCGUGAGUGAUGAAGGCUUUCGGGUCGUAAAACUCCGUUGUUAGGGAAGAACAAGUGCUAGUUGAAUAAGCUGGCACCUUGACGGUACCUAACCAGAAAGCCACGGCUAACUACGUGCCAGCCGCCGCCGUAA
This 515-nucleotide ribosomal RNA is filed under the name uncultured bacterium. RNAcentral describes it as "partial 16S ribosomal RNA". It matches the Rfam family "Bacterial small subunit ribosomal RNA", at positions 28 to 523 of the family's 1533-position model. The record is from RNAcentral.